RNAcentral lists this long non-coding RNA (7915 nucleotides) under Brassica napus (rape). RNAcentral describes it as "long non-coding RNA (BNAP_LNC002452)". The record is from RNAcentral. Lineage: Eukaryota; Viridiplantae; Streptophyta; Magnoliopsida; Brassicales; Brassicaceae.
ACCAAGAUACCUAUUUCACUCGGGCUGAUUCCAGUGUUGCGGAGAAGAGUAUCGACCGCUCCUAGUAUAACUUCUUGAGUCUCUUUACGUGACCCGACCAUGCUUUGUUCUAUCGGCAAGCAAUGAAGACCUUCCGGUACGUAGGUCUCUUGGCCUAGACCGGAACGUUCUAGAAUCUUGGUCACAAAGUCCAUCAAGUAUUCGUUCUCGUCUGACUUCCCCCAUUUGCCUGAUUCACGUACAACUCUUACGUGGUGCAUAAUCUUCUUGACGCUGGCUUUGAGAUGAGACGGUGGGAGGUAGCAGCUGAAGUCAACUAGGUAAACGGGUUUGGGUCGGUUCAUAAUGUAAAGCGUCCACCCGAGAAUCAGAGAGAUGGAGAAUAUGGUUAGGGACGUGAAAUUUUUCUGUAGGGAGAGGUAAAAGCUGUGGAGAUCUUGUGUGGAAAGACGAGAAGCUUGCAUGGCUAUAGCAACCAACAAUGGGAGGAAACACAGCUUCAAGCGAUGGGUCGUGAGGUAGUUGAAAACCAUUUUUACGUUAUUCAGUGGGGAAUACUUUUUAGUGAUAUGUUUCCCCUGUUUUGUUUUUAAACUCUUAGUGUGGUCUUUGUUCGUUCUGGCUCGUAUUACAUUUAUAGAGGUUUUGAUUGAGUAUGAUAGAGGGGGUAAGAAGAAGAGAGAUAGCUAGAGAGACAGCUCUCAUGCAAUGAAUGUAAUAAAUAAGCAAGCACGUGAAAGUUUUUACUCCGAAUAGCGACAUUUCCAAGUUUUAUUUUAACGCUUCAAAUGUAACUCGGAUGUUUUCUCUAAGUUUAUAUUUGUUCACUAUGAUAGCUACACAAUACUGAAUAUUAACUUUCAUGUUUAACGAGGAUAAGAGAAAAGGUGCAUUUAUCUUGAAGGUUGUAGGCCAUAUGCAUUGUUGGGGAUCAUUUACGAGUCAUAAAGUCAGUGGCAAAAUAUGGAGUCAGAUGAAACACUCAAAUACUAACCCAAUGUUAUCUCAUGUUAAUGUACACAAACCGGCGAUGGAGUCUCCUAGCUGGGUACCAACGUCUUAGUUAGGUGCUUUCCUCGUCUAGUUAGGAUUGUCGAUGCACAUAUAUUUUUUUUAAUAGAACAAAUAUGAAUGGAGACACUACGCCGUUUGUAUUGUCAGCUCACUACCAAAAAUUAAAAAAAAAAAAUGAUGAAACGUGUUCGAUUGACAACAGAUAUACACAUGCAUGCGCGAAGAUGGUGUUGGCCAACCCUAUCCGAUAAGUUGGAUAAUCCGUAUGAUCAUAUCAACCAUGGGGAUGUCAAUAUAUAGUAGCUAGCUCAACUCGAUCAGCCGCUAGUGGUUUAAUGACUGGAUUUGGCUCCAUUGUGCCCCUAUUUUGAUUUUCGUUGGAAGAAAUGUUUUACGCCGUGUUACCGGUAUUAGCGCCGGCUGGUCUCGGACCUAGGUGGAUUAUUUGAGCCGAAGGCUAUACACCUCAUGGUUAAAAAAAACUAGAUCAACCCAAAUCAUUUAUUAUAUGAGCUUAUAUAUACUUUACCUUCGUUCAACUAUGAUUAGUCAAUGUAUAUGCAAUAAAUUUUCAUAUCACAUCAUACUUUCGAUUUUUUACAUAUCCUGACUAUGUCAAAUUUUGGAGUGUAUAUGCAAAGAUAUUUGCAUGGAAAAAAAUCACAGUUUAAUAUGUUACAUCUUCAUUAUUAAAAUCUUUUAAAAAAGAAUCUUAUAUCCUGUAGAAAAUGUAUUUUCUCAAAUUUUUAGAAAAUGAAUGGUUACACAACACUCAGGUAGUAAAUGCGUGUAAAAAAACAACUACCUAUCUUUUGCCGCAUGUCCGUAAAACAAGCAUCUUCUUGCUUCAGAAUUCAGAAAAACCUAAGACAUUGUCAGGUAACAAUGGUUUUACCCUUUAACAGUUUGUCUUUUUUACUCCUACUUUUUUUGCUGUAGUGAAAUCUCAUAACCUUAGAACAAUCUAUCAGUUUUGGUAUAUUUUUAUAAAUAGAGAAACAAAAGAAUUCAAGCAAAGGGGUUUUCUCAAAGAAUAGGAAAAAUUACCUCCUAAACAGUAUUUCCAUUCAUGAUAUAAGAAGACAUUAAAUGCUAUUUUGUCUAUAUAUACUCCAAUUGUGUAAAAAUAUUAAAUUUGAAGGCAUCAAUGGAGUAGAUACAAGUCCACAUAUGGGCGCAGGACACUAAUUGUAUUCAGAUAAUUUGCACUCCCAAUUUAAAGCGGAAGGAUGGUGCGCACAGAUCUCAGCGUAGAAAAACAUGGUUGGGCAUAACAAUAUUUACUAGUUGUUUCACCACUAAAGAAAUUAAACCGUAGAAUUUAUGUUUGAUAAAGAAUUGGGAGUUGAGAGUGCGACGUGUGAGAGCAUCAUUAUCGUUUAGAAAUCCACUGGAAUUUUAAUUUCUUAAUAAUAUUGAUAUGAAUCUGUAUUUUUUUGAGACUCUUCCCUUUUUUAUGUCUUGAUGUUUCUUAUUUUUGUCUUUAAAUUGUCGAACUUGGUAAGAACUCUUCAAUGAUGAUUGAUAGCUUGUGACAAAAAGCAAGUCAAGGUUAAAAGCUAUUUGAGAAUUAUGGAUGUUUGUAUAAAAACUACUCCAUAUCUGGAGUUCCACCGAGUUUUCCAUAACGUAACAGUUGAUAGAGGUAAUGCACUCAUCAGAAUAUUUGAAAAUUCGGUGAUAGCUAAUUGAAUGUUUGUUUGAAAAAAAAAAAAAAGUCUAGUCAACAACCUAACAGAAACUAAAGUCAAUCUCCAACAAGACACCAAAACAUCAAAUUUGGUGUAAUUUUAUCUUCAACAAAACACCAAAUUUAACAGCAUCCCACCAAAUUUGGUGUAACACUAUUCAUCACAUCAAAUCUUUAAAUACAUAUUUUAUUAUGUUUUAUUUAAUAAUAUAGUUCAAUUACUAUCAAAUUUGUAAUUAAACAUAAAUAUAUUGUAUCAUUUAUAUUUUAAAUUUAUUUUCACAUAAUUAAAAUAUUAAAUCUUUUAUUUUUAUUUUUAUUUUUAUUUUCAAAAUAAAUUAUUAAAUGACCAUUAUUAUUUAUCACUUAAAAAUAAUAAUAAUCUAAAUAAUAAUCUAAAUGUGAUAAAAUAAUUAUUUAUCAAUCACAAACAAUAAAAUUUAAAAAAUUUAAAAUAUCAAAUAAUAGUAUAUUAUUUUUGGUGUAAAAUUUAGUGUAAUUGUUAAAGAUGACCAAAAAUUUUUGAUACCAAAACACCAAACUUAGUGUAAUUUCCACACCAAAUUUGGUGGCAUUGUUGGAGAUGCUCUAAGGACUCGUGCAAUCCCUUUCUUGUGGAGCUGGCAAAGCAAGUCAUUGAGCUCCUCUAGUCUUGGUGAGCCACUUGUAAGCUCCCCUAUCUAUCACAAUUAUCCCCUAUCUGUCACAGUUUCGUCAUGUAUGUAGUUUGUUUAGAUACCGAAACUGGGAGAUGGCAGCACAGGACAGUGAGCUGAGGUUGAUUGAGAGGACCGGUUGUUGGCAGGGAAGAGACGACGAUUACAAGAUUUGGAGACGAAGCAAUUUUAUUUUCCUUGCGAAAUGAUCUCACGUUUUUAGAAUUAAUAUGAAUAUUAGAUAUUACCAUACUUUGUUGGACAGUACUUCAUGAACUUGUGUCUUUCGAAGUUUUAAACUCUACGCUUGUUAACAAGAAUGACCAUGCCUCAAUGUAUUUUUAUACCGCAAAAACAACCGCAAUAAAAUACACUUUCUAAAGAAACACACGAGAAAAACGAUGUAAAGAACACAACUGACAGAUUCAUAAAAGAGUUGUUCAUGUCCUAAAAAAAAAAGAUGAAGCAUAUUUGUAACCGCAAAUGGGAAGCAAGGAGACACAUAACCGACUAUAGAUAUCCUCCAAAGGUUUAACUACUAAACUUGGUUGAAUAAAACUUCUUAAAACCCCUAACAUUUUACUAAUAUGUAAUCUGCCUUGAUAGCUCACCAAAAGAUACGCAAAUGAUUGAUUGUCUUUUUUUUUCCAGCCAAAUUUCAUUUCAUUUCAUUCAGAGAAAGUGAGGACCAAUGAGCUUUGCAAUCUCCAAGAAGCCGACACGGUCUUUGCCAUCAAAUAUCUUCUUCAGCUUCUCGUCGCAGAUUAUAACCUUCUUGUUUUGUGGAUCCUGUAGAAAGAACAACAUUUACUCACUUUUAAGUCACCACCAAAGGUUAUAACACAAAGUAAGAUAGAAUAUGAAUAGACUUGUUGUCAUUAUUUUGAAAAGUUAUCACUACUAAAACCCAAAACAACGAACAUGAGCAUGAGCAAAACGUGAAAAAAUCUACAUUUGUUUCAACUAGACAGAACUCAAAAUAAUCAUUAGACAGGUCAAGUAAGGUGAUUCAAAACCAAACAUGACAACUAACUAAGGAAUCAAAAAGGGAUUUAAUUAAUAAUACAUAUCUUAUCCCCAAUAAACAAUUGAGGUCACUAGUGAACUGUAUCGUCACUACUCAACUGUAUCAUCACAACAGAGCCUAGUCAACGUAAGCUGUUAGAAGGUUUUUUACUAAGCUCCAAAAAGGUUUCAAACCUCAUCCAAAUUAUUAAAAGCUGUCUCUUUUGAAAUCAAUAAGCAAUUAGAAAGAGAGAGAGUAUUUACUUGAAGGUCGUGUUCCUUGAUGUAAGCCCAAAUACGCUUGAGGGCCUGUGUGCGAGGUAUCACCGAUUCGCCUACAACGUCCUGCAUCUCGGGGGUCACCGGGCGAGGCUUCAUGAUGCCACGUGGCUCCCUCGUCUUGGUGGUUGAAGAGGGCUCGGAGGACGCCGCCGCCGUCGCGGAGGUUACGGCUCGCACCAUGCGCAGGUUAGCCGGAUGAGGAGAAAUACGGAGAGACGGCGAGCUUCGGAACGGCGCCGUAUCGACGCGGAGAGAGGUAGAGAAGGUAGCAGAAGAAAGAGCCAUUGUCGUCGUCUUGGGUGUUGUGUCUGUCUCUCUGUCUGUGUGGUGGAGUUGGAAAACGAGAGGCUUUUGCGUUAUCUCUUCUUCCUGUUUUUUAUAUUUUAACCGGUUUAUCGAACCGAAUUUAAUGAUACCGGUUAUCAGCGGAUUUAAAUGAUUUCUGCAUACCGGUCUUCUUCAAACGGUGUCGUGUUGAAGAACCCUCAGAAAACGCUGUUUUUGUUCAUCUCCUCCGUCUCCUCCUAAAACUGAAUCUCUCUUUUCAAAUUCAAAAAAAAACGAGGAUACGUCUAUCUCAGAUCUUCACAAUGGAUAAUCCGAUUCAAGAGGUACUAUCUUGCAUCUACGCACUGUUUUUUACGUGGCUUUGUAUUGGAUUUUUUUUUAUGUUAGGACAGUUACUUAGUUAAUAUAUAAAAAUAAACUUUUUUUUUUUUUGCAGGUGAUGGAUAAGCAGCACAUUGAGACGCGUUUUGUGAAGAUCCAAGCUGAGAAGAGUCCGUUCUUGGCUGAGAAGCUCAAGAUUGUGGUUCUUCCCACUCUCGCACUCAUUAAGAACACUAAAGUUGAUGAUUAUGUGGUAUAGUCACACACAACACAACUCCAACUUUUGUUUUUUUUUUGUCUUUUAGGAUAUGAUUGGUUAUUUUGGUAGGUUGGGUUUAAUGAGCUGGGAGGGAGAGACGAUUUCAGCACGGAGGAUCUAGAAGAGAGAUUAGCUAGAGCUCAAGUUAUCCAUUACGAGGGUGAAUCAUCAUCUCAUAAGGUAAAGUCUAUCUACUGGGAGCUUGUGGUCAAGUGGUAAGGGGAAGAGGUUGGGAUGUCACCACAUUUCAAGUUCGAUCCACCUGCCAUGCGAAACUAAGUCAUAUUUUCCUGGUCACCUACACGGAUAUGGGCUAUUGCAUUUCGGCCCAUUUGAAUACCCGGAAGAGGGUUUAUCCGUGGGCUGCACCUCCCACCCGGGGGUUAGGUCUGUGUCUUUAAUAGACCCAGGUUUAACCUUUUUGUUUACAAAAAAAAAUAAAAAUAAGGUAAAGUCUAUGACACAAGCCAGGAGGAGUGUAAGGCAGAGUGCUAAUUCAGAUUCUGACUCUGAAUGAAUCCCAAGUUUUAACAAUAUAUAUAAAGGAGGAAACAUAAAAUGUAAGCGCUCGUAGCUUGGUGGUAAACGAGGUACAGCUGUACUGUCCGCCACCCGGGUUCGAGCCUUGGCCACAACGGAUUUAACAUCCCUUCCGUUGGGGCACUGGACCCCUUUCGGGGGAUAGUUGGGAAUGUAGCUGCUCAGAUACCAGAGUUAUCAAAAAAAAAAAUAAAAAAAAAAUGUAAGUGAGCUUGUUGUUGAGUUUUUAUUGAACUAAUUAAGUUAGUCAUAUGUAAUAUUCAAAGCUAUUCAUUUGUCUUUUUCAUGAUCUAAUAUGGAUUUUUUAACCUUUUAACAUUUUAUUAUUUUAUCAAAAAUUAUGAAAAUUUUCAAGUAUCUGCAUACUGAUGAUUCUAAUUAUAUUUAUCACCUAUGUCAUACAAUAAUUAAAUUAUGUGUAUAUAUAUUGAAUUUUAAGAACUUUUCCUAAACGUAAAACUGUGGAAUUUUAGAUUUUUGAUGAUUAUUUAAAAUAAAGUCUUGUAUUUCUGCCCUAUCUAUGUGUAUAUUUGAUUUAAAAAAAAAACUUGUUUGCAUAAAAGCACACGGAAUAUUUAAACUUAUUCUUUCACGAGAAGAAACACACCACAUUAAAAUGAGUAAAGAAAAAACUUAUAGAGAGUCGGACAUACUCUUGAGUCAUAUAUCGAUCUCAACUGGAUAUUUGUUCAGACAUUCUUCCCAAGGAUUAUCAGCAGAAGCCUUAACGUUACGAAGAGCCACCCAAACACAACUAUUGCAUUUAAACCCUGACCCCAACGCUAUCUGCCAAGUCCUAUCUCCUUUCUUCAUCCUUCCUUUCGCUUCCGUGUAAGCCAACUCGUACCAAAUAGAACUCGAUGAUGUAUUACCAAACCUAUGUAACGUCAUUCUUGAUGCUUCCACAUGUAACGGAGAGAGAUGAAGAUUCUUCUCAAGCUCAUCUAUAAGCGCUCUACCACCCGCAUGUAUACAGAAAUGCUCGAACGCAAGCUUGAAAUUCGGCAUGUAAUGCUUGAUCUUGGGGUUGAAAAACUUCUUUCUAAGGAAUGUGACAAAGAAGAGAAGCUUUUCGCUUAUGGGAAGAACCAGUGGACCUAACGUUGCGAUAUUAAUCUUAAGGGUUCUUGCAGCUACCAUGGGUAGAUCCUUUGACAAGGUGACUCCAACUACACCAUCUUCAUCUUCUUCUUGAGUCGCGCAUCCGUAAGAUCGGUCAUCGGACCCGGUAUGGACCCUCACCGUGUGGACAAGCUUGUAUUUAACGCGUUUUCGGUCUUUAGAGAUGUUAGAAAGCAAAACCGCAGCCCCACCUACCCGGAACAAACAGUUUGUAACCAACAUUGAUUUGUUGUUACCAACGUACAAGUUCUGAGUUAUGUUCUCGGUGCUGACCACAAGAGCAUAAGUGUUUCUAUGAACUUGUAACAAACUCUUAGCGACAUCUAUAGCGAUGACGCCAGCACUACACCCCAUCCCACCAAGAUUAAAGCUCUUUAUAUUUUCCCUAAGUUUAUAUUUGUUCACUAUGAUAGUUGCUAACGAAGGAGUUGGAUUGAAAGUGCUCGAGUUCACCACCAAGAUACCUAUUUCACUCGGGCUGAUUCCAGUGUUGCGGAGAAGAGUAUCGACCGCUCCUAGUAUAACUUCUUGAGUCUCUUUACGUGACCCGACCAUGCUUUGUUCUAUCGGCAAGCAAUGAAGACCUUCCGGUACGUAGGUCUCUUGGCCUAGACCGGAACGUUCUAGAAUCUUGGUCACAAAGUCCAUCAAGUAUUCGUUCUCGUCUGACUUCCCCCAUUUGCCUGAUUCACGUACAACUCUUACGUGGUGCAUAAUCUUCUUGACGCUGGCUUUGAG